This 520-nucleotide unclassified non-coding RNA is filed under the name uncultured Glomus. RNAcentral describes it as "SSU rRNA". It matches the Rfam family "Eukaryotic small subunit ribosomal RNA", at positions 569 to 1091 of the family's 1831-position model. The record is from RNAcentral. Lineage: Eukaryota; Fungi; Glomeromycota; Glomeromycetes; Glomerales; Glomeraceae.
AGCAGCCGCGGUAAUUCCAGCUCCAAUAGCGUAUAUUAAAGUUGUUGCAGUUAAAAAGCUCGUAGUUGAAUUUCGGGAUCAGUUGAUCGGUCGUGCCUCGGUACGUACUGGUCAAAUUGAUUCCUACCUUCUGACGAACCACGAUGUCAUUAAUUUGGUGUCGUGGGAAAUCAGGACUGUUACUUUGAAAAAUUAGAGUGUUUAAAGCAGGCUCGCGCUUGAAUACAUUAGCAUGGAAUAAUGAAAUAGGACGUUUGAUUCUAUUUUGUUGGUUUCUAGGACCGACGUAAUGAUUAAUAGGGAUAGUUGGGGGCAUUAGUAUUCAAUUGUCAGAGGUGAAAUUCUUGGAUUUAUUGAAGACUAACUACUGCGAAAGCAUUUGCCAAGGAUGUUUUCAUUAAUCAAGAACGAAAGUUAGGGGAUCGAAGACGAUCAGAUACCGUCGUAGUCUUAACCAUAAACUAUGCCGACUAGGGAUCGGAUGAUGUUAAUUUUUUAAUGUACUCAUUCGGCGUCCUUA